GACGAACGCUGGCGGCGUGCUUAACACAUGCAAGUCGAACGGAAAGGCCCUGCUUUUGUGGGGUGCUCGAGUGGCGAACGGGUGAGUAACACGUGAGUAACCUGCCCUUGACGUUGGGAUAACUUCAGGAAACUGGGGCUAAUACCGGAUAGGAGCUCCUGCUGCAUGGUGGGGGUUGGAAAGUUUCGGCGGUUGGGGAUGGACUCGCGGCUUAUCAGCUUGUUGGUGGGGUAGUGGCUUACCAAGGCUUUGACGGGUAGCCGGCCUGAGAGGGUGACCGGCGACAUUGGGACUGAGAUACGGCCCAGACUGCUACGGGAGGCAGCAGUGGGGAAUAUUGCACAGUGGGCGGAAGCCUGAUGCAGCAACGCCGCGUGCGGGAUGACGGCCUUCGGGUUGUAAACCGCUUUCGCCUGUGACGAAGCGUGAGUGACGGUAAUGGGUAAAGAAGCACCGGCUAACUACGUG
Molecule: ribosomal RNA, 468 nt
Filed under: uncultured bacterium
Lineage: Bacteria
Description: partial 16S ribosomal RNA
Rfam family: Bacterial small subunit ribosomal RNA
Source: RNAcentral